Molecule: ribosomal RNA, 655 nt
Filed under: uncultured archaeon
Lineage: Archaea
Description: bacterial SSU rRNA
Rfam family: Archaeal small subunit ribosomal RNA
Source: RNAcentral
UUUCCGGUUGAUCCCGCCGGACCUGACUGCUAUCGGAUUGAUACUAAGCCAUGCUAGUCUUUGUAGUAAUACAAGGCAUACGGCUCAGUAACGCGUAGUCAACCUACCCUAUGGACGGGGAUAAUCUCGGGAAACUGAGCAUAAUACCCGGCAGACCACUUAUCCUGGAAUGGUUAGUGGUUAAAAUGAUUCGUCGCCAUAGGAUGGGACUGCGGCCUAUCAGCUUGUUGGUGAGGUAAUGGCCCACCAAGGCGAUUACAGGUACGGGCUCUGAGAGGAGAGGCCCGGAGAUGGGUACUGAGACAAGGACCCAGGCCCUAUGGGGCGCAGCGGGCGAGAAAACUUUGCAAUGUGCGAAAGCACGACAAGGUUAAUCCGAGUGAUUUCUGCUAAAGGAAUCUUUUGUUAGUUCUAAAAAUACUAGUGAAUAAGGGGUGGGCAAGUUCUGGUGUCAGCCGCCGCGGUAAAACCAGCACCUCAAGUGGUCAGGAGGAUUAUUGGGCCUAAAGCAUCCGUAGCCUGUUCUAUAAGUUUGCGGUUAAAUCUAUACGCUCAACGUAUAGGCUGCCGUAAAUACUGUAGAACUAGGGAGUGGGAGAGGUAGACGGUACUCGAUAGGAAGGGGUAAAAUCCUUUGAUCUAUUGAUGACCACCU